UAGUCUGGUGCCAGCAGCCGCGGUAAUUCCAGCUCCAAUAGCGUAUAUUAAAGUUGUUGCAGUUAAAACGCUCGUAGUCGGAUUUCGGGGCAGGUUUGCCGGUCUGCCGAUGGGUAUGCACUGGUAAAACUGUCCUUCCUUCCGGAGACGGCGCCUACUCUUAACUGAGCGGGUGUCGGAGACGGAUCGUUUACUUUGAAAAAAUCAGAGUGUUUCAAGCAGGCAGCUCGCUUUUGCAUGGAUUAGCAUGGGAUAAUGAAAUAGGACUUUGGUGCUAUUUUGUUGGUUUCGAACACCGAAGUAAUGAUUAACAGGGACAGUCAGGGGCACUCGUAUUCCGCCGAGAGAGGUGAAAUUCUUAGACCAGCGGAAGACGAACCACUGCGAAAGCAUUUGCCAGGGAUGUUUUCACUGAUCAAGAACGAAAGUUAGGGGAUCGAAGACGAUCAGAUACCGUCGUAGUCUUAACCAUAAACCAUGCCGACUAGGGAUUGGAGGAUGUUCCUAUGUGACUCCUUCAGCACCUUUCGGGAAACUAAAGUCUUUGGGUUCCGGGGGGAGUAUGGUCGCAAGGCUGAAACUUAAAGGAAUUGACGGAAGGGCACCACCAGGAGUGGAGCCUGCGGCUUAAUUUGACUCAACACGGGGAAACUUACCAGGUCCAGACAUUGUGAGGAUUGACAGAUUGAGAGCUCUUUCUUGAUUCGAUGGGUGGUGGUGCAUGGCCGUUCUU
Molecule: ribosomal RNA, 733 nt
Filed under: uncultured eukaryote
Lineage: Eukaryota
Description: SSU rRNA
Rfam family: Eukaryotic small subunit ribosomal RNA
Source: RNAcentral